CUAGGAAGGCUGACACAUGAUGAGAAGAUUCAGUGGUUCUGAGGUACAGUACUUAAGAUAACCCUGUGAAGGCUGAGAUUGGUAUUUGAAAUUCACAACUGAUCUUGGAGCCUGGUGCAGCAGUCAUGGAUAUGUUCAUGUGUGGAUGCGAUGGAACUGAGGUCACUAGGUUCAUGCUACCUGGAGCAUGAGGCUGACAAAUAGAGAAGCACUGAGUCAAAUGAAUCUUGGAAAAAUGGAGCUAGAAGAAAACCAGAUCCAUUAGACUUCAUUGUCAAUACAUGUGCUGGAACUUGUAACUUGGAUUACAGUAUUAUGAAAUAAUUGGUGAAAUCCACCAAGGAAGACUGAUUCCCUGUGAAGAGUAGAGAGCCAGCAAAAACUGGAGAUAUUGGGCUUAUAUAGAAUCCAGAAAUGGAAGCCUCCUGAAAAUUAAUAUUUUAAAAAUAAGGGAUGCUUGACUUUUUCUUAACAUAAUAAAUGAUGAGGAACUGAAAAAAGAAUUCAAAGAUUCUAUUUCGAAGAUUCUAUUUCAAAGCUUCUUAUGAACAUCUCAAGAUAGUUUUUUGUUUCUAUUUAUUUUCUUUG
Long non-coding RNA from Piliocolobus tephrosceles (Ugandan red Colobus), 588 nucleotides. RefSeq lists it as uncharacterized. The record is from RefSeq and is a predicted model, not a curated record. The transcript has 4 exons. Lineage: Eukaryota; Metazoa; Chordata; Mammalia; Primates; Cercopithecidae.